GAUGAACGCUAGCUACAGGCUUAACACAUGCAAGUCGAGGGACCGGCGCACGGGUGAGUAACACGUAUCCAACCUGCCCUUUACUCGGGGAUAGCCUUUCGAAAGAAAGAUUAAUACCCGAUAUAAAGGAUGGGGAUGCGUUCCAUUAGGUUGUUGGUGAGGUAACGGCUCACCAAGCCUUCGAUGGAUAGGGGUUCUGUGAGGAAGGAACCCGACAUUGGAACUGAGGCACGGUCCAAACUCCUACGGGAGGCAGGAGUGAGGGAUAUAGGUGAAUGGGCGCUAGCGUGAACCAGCCAAGUAGCGUGAAGGAUGAAGGGGUAGGGGUGGUAAACUACUUUUAUAUAAGAAUAGGUAUUAUAUGAAUAAGGAUCGGCUAACUCCGUGCCAGCCGCCGCGGUAAUUC
Molecule: ribosomal RNA, 406 nt
Filed under: uncultured bacterium
Lineage: Bacteria
Description: partial 16S ribosomal RNA
Rfam family: Bacterial small subunit ribosomal RNA
Source: RNAcentral